CUCGUCCUAGCCUCCUGGUCCCAAGUGCCUGCCCCUCCCCCUCUCCUGCGCCCCCACCUCACUGCUGCCCCCCCCCCCCCCCGUCACCUCUAGUCCCUGCGCACCCCUUAGCCCUCUCAGAGUCCCCAUCUGGGCUUCAACCCCUUCACCCCUCACUCCCCUCCCCACCCCCCCCAGAGCUCCUUCCUGGGGCUCCAUCCCUAACCCACUGCUGAACCUUCCAGCAUUUCCGGCAUUUCCACCCCUACUCCGGCCGAAUGGUCCUUCUGAGCGGAAGUUCCCUUCUCCAGGGUCAGCUGGCCCGUUCAACAAGUAUAGGGAGAACUCCUGUAUGCCAGGCAUUGUUCUAGACGUGGAGGUAGUGAGCAGAUUUCCCUGCCUGCCUCCAGCAUCCUAGGGGGUAACCGACAAUGAUCAGUAUGAGUAAGUAACCUGGGCGGUAGGAGCACGAAGAUGGGAGCAGGGAGUCCCGACCGAAGAUGAGAGUCGCGUGGCCUAGGGUGGUGGAGUCGAGCAGUGAGAAGUGCCUGGAUGUGUCCUGAAGGUAGAGCCAGCAGGACCAGGGAAGAGGGGGCCGAACGGACAUCUGGGAGUCAUCAGCGCAGAGGUGGUCUUGAAAGCCUGGGCAUAAGACGAAUCUCCACGGCAGGGGGAGGACACAACAGGACCCCCAGGGGAUCCUGGAGCCCCCAAUGCAGAAAAGCUGGGAAGAAGAAGAUCCAGCAGAGGGGGCCAAAGAGGGGAGAUCGCCGAGGUGGGAGGGAAAUGGAUUCGUGGGAGCUGGGUGCAGAAAGUGAGACAGGAGGAAGGUGCGGUCAGCUGGAGCACAUGUUGCCAGGAGGCCACAAAAGAUGAGGAUUUAGAAACAGGGAGGCCACCGGGGUCUUUAUAUAGGUGGAAAUCAUCAGAGUUGGCGCGGCUUGAAGCAACCCCAGGUGGGCAUCGUCCCCACCUCGGCUUUUCUCCCUCUGCUGCGUUUCCAGAGGUGGCCAGAGUGAACCUUAUUAAAGCACACAUUUGAGAUCGUGUCACUCGAGUACACUCCAGAUAAAGUGCAAACUCCGUAGCAGGGUGCGUAGAUGAAUAGCUCAACCUGCCCUUUUGCUGUUCUCCUCCCGAUGCACAGAACUAAGAACCACCCCGUGCCCCCAAUUCCCUGCUCCUCCGCUCCCCACUCGGCCAACUUCACUCAACCUUCCAGACUCGGCCAGGACUCCCCUUUCCUCCGGCGGGGCUUCCCUGACCUCCUAGGCUGGGUUAAGUGUCCUGUGCAUCCCCACAGUCCCUUCUGCGUCACCCCAUUACCACAUUCUGUCUGUCGUAUGUGAUUUUCUGUUUGCAUCUGUCCCCACCAUAGUGGGAGCUCUUCGAGAAAGGGCGGGGGUUGUAUCGCUUUCGCGUGUAUGUCCCCAGCCUCGUGGUAUACACACAGGAACUAUCCAGUAAGCGUCCGUUGAGCCUGCAGGCAUCGGUUCUGCCUCUCUUCCCUUCUUGACCAUGACCGGGGUUGAUCUACGUGGCCUUCCUGAGACAGAGGACUAAAAGCCUCGUGCUUCACUCCCAGUGCCUGGUAUUUGGUAGGCACAAAAUAAAUAUGGGACAAGUGAAUAUCAAACCGUAUAGCCAAAAACAAAAAUAGUAAGGGCCCGAGGUUCUUAGACCAUAGAGGUAUUGAUUAAAAAAAACCCAAAAAACAUUGGGUCUGUUUUUAUAAAUUUUCAUAUAGGCUACUGAGCUUGUCUCCAAGAGUUCUCUAAAACAGAAGUUAAAAUCCUUACCUCUGAGCUCUCCACCUAUCUGUUGGUAAUACCUUCUCUAUUUUUUUUUUUUUUACUAUUUUUUUAAGUUAGAAAAAUACUAUGUGGUCAUAGUU
Molecule: long non-coding RNA, 1873 nt
Organism: Felis catus (domestic cat)
Lineage: Eukaryota; Metazoa; Chordata; Mammalia; Carnivora; Felidae
Exons: 2
Source: RefSeq, a predicted model, not a curated record